Molecule: long non-coding RNA, 931 nt
Filed under: Homo sapiens (human)
Lineage: Eukaryota; Metazoa; Chordata; Mammalia; Primates; Hominidae
Description: non-protein coding lnc-OR5H6-1:2
Source: RNAcentral
AUGGAUGACGAAAAUGCAACAUUGCUGACAGAGUUUGUUCUCACAGGACUUACAUAUCAAUCAGAGUGGAAAAUACCCCUGUUCCUGGCAUUCUUGGUAAUAUAUCUCAUCACCAUCAUGGCAAAUCUUGGUCUGAUUGCUGUCAUCUGGAAAGACUCACACCUUCACAUUCCAAUGUACUUAUUCCUUGGGAGUUUAGCCUUUGUGGAUGCUUGGUUAUCAUCCUCAGUGACCCCUAAGAUGCUGAUCAGCUUUUUAGCUAAGAGUAUGAUUAUUUCUGUCUCUGAAUGCAAGAUACAAUUUUUUUCCUUUGGAAUCAGUGGAACCACAGAAUGUUUUCUCUUGGCAACAAUGGCAUAUGAUCGCUAUGUAGCCAUAUGCAAACCUUUACUUUAUCCAGUCAUUAUGACCAAUGGACUGUGUAUCUGGCUAUUAGUCUUGUCAUUUAUAGGUGGCUUUCUUCAUGCCUUAAUUCAUGAAGGUAUUUUAUUCAGAUUAACCUUCUGUAAUUCCAACAUAAUACAUCACUUUUACUGUGACAUUAUCCCAUUGUUAAAGAUUUCCUGUACUGACCCUUCUAUUAAUUUUUUAAUGCUUUUUAUUUUGUCUGGUUCAAUACAGGUAUUCACUAUUUUGACUGUUCUUGUCUCUUAUACAUUUGUCCUCUUUACAAUCUUAAAAAAAAAAGUCUGCCAAAGACAUAAGGAAAGCCUUUUCCACCUGUGGAGCCCAUCUCUUAUCUGUUUCUUUAUACUAUGGCCCCCUUCUCUUCAUGUAUGUGCACCCUGCAUCUCCACAAGCAGAUGAUCAAGAUAUGGUGGAGUCUCUAUUUUACACUGUCAUAAUUCCUUUCUUAAAUCCCAUUAUCUACAGCCUGAGAAAUAAGCAAGUCAUAGAUUCACUGACAAAAACAUUAAAAGGAAAUGUUUAG